RNAcentral lists this long non-coding RNA (500 nucleotides) under Olea europaea (common olive). RNAcentral's name for it is "long non-coding RNA (OEUR_LNC002067)". The record is from RNAcentral. Lineage: Eukaryota; Viridiplantae; Streptophyta; Magnoliopsida; Lamiales; Oleaceae.
GUUCUCCGAAAAUGAAAACACUUCUUAAAUCUCUAACCCUAAAUCUAACAGUGAGUUCCUAAAAUCAAAGGGAGAAUUCGUUGAGAUGUAAAAGCAAAUGCGUUGGCAGAUGAAUUGUUACACAAUAUGAUAACCGACCAGUUCAACGAAAGAAAAGAGGAUAAUAGUAUACGAUACUUCAAUCAGUUCUUUCCAAAAAUUUACAUGAACAAUCCAAUGCUAUGUUCAGUUUGCUAUGAGAUGCUUGAGGAUUAAUGAACAAAGAGACAAUAAGAGAAAUCAGGAGAGUAACUAGUAGCAGUCCUAAAAAGAUUAAUGAAUAUGCAACUCCCUCACCCAACUCUGUAUACAAAAUAUCCAUUCAUCUCAGAUUCUUUGCUAGCACUUGUCAAUGAUAGCAUAGCACAAUGAAGAUAUUUGUACCUGUAUUACGAUUUCCACAGAACCCCUUUUUGGUUAUCAUCAGAAGAAAAAUCAUGAGAACAAAUCCAUUAANNNNN